UACGUAGGUGGCAAGCGUUAUCCGGAAUAACUGGGCGUAAAGAGAGCGUAGGCGGUUUUGUAAGUUGAAGGUGAAAGCCCGGGGCUUAACCCCGGAAUUGCCUUCAAAACUACAAAACUAGAGUGUGGGAGAGGAAGAUGGAAUUCCAAGUGUAGCAGUGAAAUGCGUAGAUACUUGGAGGAACAUCAGCGGCGAAGGCGAUCUUCUGGAACAUAACUGACGCUGAGGCUCGAAAGCGUGGGGAGCAAAC
RNAcentral lists this ribosomal RNA (250 nucleotides) under uncultured prokaryote. RNAcentral describes it as "partial 16S ribosomal RNA". It matches the Rfam family "Bacterial small subunit ribosomal RNA", at positions 524 to 773 of the family's 1533-position model. The record is from RNAcentral.